Molecule: ribosomal RNA, 404 nt
Filed under: Fusobacteriota bacterium
Lineage: Bacteria; Fusobacteriati; Fusobacteriota
Description: Fusobacteria bacterium partial 16S ribosomal RNA
Rfam family: Bacterial small subunit ribosomal RNA
Source: RNAcentral
UGGGGAAUAUUGCACAAUGGAGGGAACUCUGAUGCAGCGACGCCGCGUGAGUGAUGAAGGAAUUCGUUUCGUAAAACUCUGUUCUAUGGGAAGAAAAGGACUGUACCAUAGGAGAAAGCUCCGGCUAAAUACGUGCCAGCAGCCGCGGUAAUACGUAUGGAGCGAGCGUUGUCCGGAAUUAUUGGGCGUAAAGGGUGCGCAGGCGGCUUUACAAGUUGGAUGUGAAAUAUUGUGGCUCAACCACAAACGUGCAUCCAAAACUGCAAAGCUUGAGUUAAGGAGAGGUAAGUGGAAUUCCUGGUGUAGCGGUGGAAUGCGUAGAUAUCAGGAGGAAUACCGGUGGCGAAGGCGACUUACUGGACUUAAACUGACGCUGAGGAACGAAAGCGUGGGUAGCAAACAGG